Molecule: signal recognition particle RNA, 196 nt
Filed under: Bacillota bacterium
Lineage: Bacteria; Bacillati; Bacillota
Description: Firmicutes bacterium (anaerobic digester metagenome) partial signal recognition particle sRNA large type
Rfam family: Bacterial large signal recognition particle RNA
About the family: The signal recognition particle (SRP) is a universally conserved ribonucleoprotein involved in the co-translational targeting of proteins to membranes. Archaeal SRP consists of a 7S RNA and homologues of the eukaryotic SRP19 and SRP54 proteins. In most bacteria, the SRP consists of a 4.5S RNA and the Ffh protein (a homologue of the eukaryotic SRP54 protein).
Source: RNAcentral
CCGUGCUAGACGGGGAAGUAGCGGAGCCCUGAACCCGCAAUCCGCUAUAGCGGGGUCGAAUUCCCGUCCGAGGGUUGGGCUUGUGGGGCUCGGUCCAAGCAAGUGGUGUUGACGAUUGGGUCUUGCGCAAUAAGGCUCCAUGAACCCCGUCAGGUCCGGGAGGAAGCAGCGGUAAGUGGAUCACCUUAUGUGCCGC